Amphimedon queenslandica is the source of this 320-nucleotide long non-coding RNA. RefSeq lists it as uncharacterized. NCBI's taxonomy places the organism in Eukaryota, Metazoa, Porifera, Demospongiae, Haplosclerida, Niphatidae. The transcript has 3 exons. The record is from RefSeq and is a predicted model, not a curated record.
AUGAAAGUUAGGAAGCAGAAUACUCUUCAAAAUAUGUGCAUGGAAUUCAAAAAUGUCUUUCACAAAUAUGUCACUUUAUCCGAAAAUGAUAAUUUUAUAGAAUUAGACAUCAAUAAAGGAAAAAUUGGUCUGUCUAAAAAGGAUGUAGACAUUAUAUACGAUAAUAAAUGGUUAAAUGACAAGAUUAUCAACUUUUAUAUGACAGUUCUGAAUAAUAGUCAAGAGAUAUCCUUAAAUACAUGUAUAUCAAGGACAAGAACAUAUUGUUUGCAAACUUUUUUUUACGAAGCUGUUUUGGAUGGAAAAGGUGCCAAAUUUAU